This 254-nucleotide long non-coding RNA is filed under the name Lathyrus oleraceus (garden pea). RNAcentral describes it as "Pisum sativum (pea) long non-coding RNA (PSAT_LNC002031)". The record is from RNAcentral. Lineage: Eukaryota; Viridiplantae; Streptophyta; Magnoliopsida; Fabales; Fabaceae.
UGCUCUUAUUCCUUUGAGGCAUGGAAGGUGUGGAAAGCAAGGUCAUCUUGUGUCUAAGUGCAUGAAUACAUCUCCAACAUAUUUCAAUUGUGGAUAGGGUCAUAUCAACACCUAUUGUCAGAAGCCAAAGACAAGACCAAGUGUAGGUCAGCGCGACGUGGGAGCUAGAGAGCCAGAUGAAUGAGUCUUGUCUAGAGUAGUCCUUCUCAACUAAAUUUUCGAGCACAAAAAUUUUGUAAAUGGAGAAAGUUGUA